CUUUUCCCAACUUUAUGCAAAUCACCAGAGGCGACCACUGGGUGAUGACCAAUCACAUCGAGUGGUUCGUCCCAUGACGAAUUUGACGCUAUGCGACCCAAGACUUUCUUCAGCAAAGAUGGCUGACAAAAAUACUAGGACGGAAGCAAAUGGACUCCUGAAACAACCAGCAAACCAGGCUGUCGUCUUGUGAAACAGUGGAUGUAAAGAAUCUAGUAGCUAGCUAAAGUAUUUAUUGCAAAUUGAAUGUAAAAUUUGUUCAGCUUGCCUUGCUGAUAUUUGCCAUGCAAUGGAGAUAACUAGCUACGUUCUUGCUUAUUGUGCAGUGGAGGAUAAAAAUACCUGUAUAUGCCUAUGGAUAUGUAGCUAGCUAUCUAGCUGAUCUGUGUAUGGACCCAAACGUUUGGUAUACAUAUUUGUUCAGAACCAAGCUAUGAACCUCAGCUAUCAUAGCCAGUUGUAUUAACUUCAAAACAGUCUGAAUGACAUUAAUGAAGCCUAUGGAUUGAGUAGAAUAUAUUAUAACUUUGUGCCAAGGAUGCAAGUCGUAUAUACAUGUAGUUAUUACUAUGCAUGAGAUCCCCACAUUGUAGCCUGAAUAUUUAAUAUAUUCAAUGAUCAUGUACUCUACCUUGGCAAAUAAAGGUGCAGUUCAGGUA
Molecule: long non-coding RNA, 659 nt
Organism: Salmo salar (Atlantic salmon)
Lineage: Eukaryota; Metazoa; Chordata; Actinopteri; Salmoniformes; Salmonidae
Source: RefSeq, a predicted model, not a curated record